AACGAACGCUGGCGGCAGGCCUAACACAUGCAAGUCGAACGGCAGCACGGGAGCAAUCCUGGUGGCGAGUGGCGAACGGGUGAGUAAUAUAUCGGAACGUGCCCAGUCGUGGGGGAUAACGUAGCGAAAGCUACGCUAAUACCGCAUACGAUCUAUGGAUGAAAGCGGGGGAUCGCAAGACCUCGCGCGAUUGGAGCGGCCGAUAUCAGAUUAGGUAGUUGGUGAGGUAAAGGCUCACCAAGCCGACGAUCUGUAGCUGGUCUGAGAGGACGACCAGCCACACUGGGACUGAGACACGGCCCAGACUCCUACGGGAGGCAGCAGUGGGGAAUUUUGGACAAUGGGCGCAAGCCUGAUCCAGCAAUGCCGCGUGCAGGAUGAAGGCCU
Molecule: ribosomal RNA, 387 nt
Filed under: uncultured bacterium
Lineage: Bacteria
Description: bacterial SSU rRNA
Rfam family: Bacterial small subunit ribosomal RNA
Source: RNAcentral